Molecule: ribosomal RNA, 254 nt
Filed under: uncultured bacterium
Lineage: Bacteria
Description: partial 16S ribosomal RNA
Rfam family: Bacterial small subunit ribosomal RNA
Source: RNAcentral
UACGUAGGGUGCAAGCGUUAUCCGGAAUUAUUGGGCGUAAAGAGCUCGUAGGCGGUUUGUCGCGUCUGCUGUGAAAACUGGAGGCUCAACCUCCAGCCUGCAGUGGGUACGGGCAGACUAGAGUGCGGUAGGGGAGAUUGGAAUUCCUGGUGUAGCGGUGGAAUGCGCAGAUAUCAGGAGGAACACCGAUGGCGAAGGCAGAUCUCUGGGCCGUAACUGACGCUGAGGAGCGAAAGCAUGGGGGAGCGAACAGG